GAUGAAGAACGUAGCGAAAUGCGAUAAGUAAUGCGAAUUGCAGAAUUUCUAGUGAGUCAUCGAAUCUUUGAACGCACAUUGCGCCCUUUGGUAUUCCGAAGGGCAUGCCUGUUCGAGCGUCAUUAUCAACCCUCAAGCCUGGCUUGUUGUUGGACCUCAGGUCGCCGCUCCGGUGGACCGGUCUCAAAGACAAUGACGGCGUCCGUGGGACCCUCGGUGCAAUGAGCUUCUUCCAAAGCACGCAUCAGAGUGGGCUCGCGGGGGCCGUCUCCCCGUCAUAUUUUAUCAAGGUUGACCUCGGAUCAGGUAGGAAUACCCGCUGAACUUAAGCAUAUCAAUAAGCGGGGA
RNAcentral lists this unclassified non-coding RNA (348 nucleotides) under soil metagenome. RNAcentral describes it as "partial contains 5.8S ribosomal RNA, internal transcribed spacer 2, and large subunit ribosomal RNA". The stretch from base 1 to 122 matches the Rfam family "5.8S ribosomal RNA", at positions 35 to 154 of the family's 154-position model. The record is from RNAcentral.